GACAGAGGUGCCGAGCGUUAGGCGGAAUCACUGGGCUUAAAGCGUGUGUAGGCGGGUCCGUAAGUACCUUGUGAAAUCCCACGGCUCAACCGUGGAACUGCUUGGUAUACUGCGGGUCUUGAGCCACCUAGGGGCAAGCGGAACAAGCGGUGGAGCGGUGAAAUGCGUAGAUAUCAGGAAGAACACCCGUGGCGAAGGCGGCUCUCUGGGCCGGUACUGACGCUGAGGAGCGAAAGCGUGGGGAGCAAACAGG
Molecule: ribosomal RNA, 253 nt
Filed under: uncultured bacterium
Lineage: Bacteria
Description: partial 16S ribosomal RNA
Rfam family: Bacterial small subunit ribosomal RNA
Source: RNAcentral